GUCAACUGUACCUUCCUUCAAACUGAAGAAGCUGGCCAUGCUUGGAAUGUGUAAUGUAGGUGGAGACACAGCCUGAGAGAACUAUUCAACCAAAGGCUGGUAUCAGCCAAAUCCCUUCACUGUUCCUGAACGCGAUGUUGACACUACUGAACAAGUCAUUGUUGGUAAAUGACUCUCUGAAAUAGUCUGUUUCUUCACUCUAGAUUCAAAGGAAAAUAUUACAGCAAGAGGAGAAAAAAGGUGAAAUUGAUUUCAUUUAACAACAACCUUCCAGCCUCGGCUCACGUCUCACUCAAAUAACCUUUGUAACUAAUUAUAAUGGAGCUGGAAAAUAAAGCACUUCUGGGCUAAAGGAUUUUAUAAGUCAUUGAAAUUAUCCAGUGCUCAGUAUAGCCAAAAUCCUAUAUGCCAUUAUGUUCUUGUGCCAGAGAGGCUGCCUGCAAGUUAACAUCUAUAGAGCUAUAAGAGGAACAAAAGGCAAACACUGUUAUCAUCAAGCAAUAUAUUAACGUCCAAAGACAUUAUGGUCUGGCAACAGUCAGUCAGCUUCAAGCACUGUCCUGCCAUAUUAAGCUUUCUCUUUCCUUUCUGAUCCUUGAAAGUUUAGAAGUAUGCAUUAAUAUUUGUAAGCUAUUCUGUCUGAUGCAGAUUUCAACUAAAACAGCCUUAUCUGGCCCCCUCUCCAUUUGUCUUAGUUUGGAUGACUUUUUAAUCCUUUGGAGUCAAGAUUUAAAGACUGUUUAAAUUAAAGGGACUUGUCAUUCUUAAAAAUUGAGCUUGGAUUCCUUUCUCUGCCAUUUCCCAGAUGAUCUGUGUCUUGCACCUAUAUGGCUGAGCCUCAGUUUCUGUCAGUGUACUUCCUUUACUCUAAACGUAACAUCCCAAAUAUAUUUUGUUUAAUUCUAUUUUUUUUUUUAAUAACUUUCAGGAUACCAAAUGCUCCAUACACACUGCUGUAGGGAAAAUUUUUUUCUUAUGUUUAGUGACCUUCACCAUCCUGUACAAGGUCUAUCUGUUUACUUACUUGGGAUUUCUUCAAAUCAAUAGCUCCCAACUGCAGUCCAUGCACCAUUAGUGAUUCAUGAAGCACUUGCUGGAGGUCCAUAGAGAACUGCCUAGCAAAGCACAGGAUCCUCUGCAUUUCCAUCUGCUAUCUUACAUUAAAACCAGCUAAAAUUAUAUUAAAUAGUUUCUGAAUGCCACUAUUCACAGAAGGCAAUUGCUGCUCUUACACAAGGCCGGUAUCUAGUUGUGAAAUAUUCCAAGUGUGACUUAGUAGAGGCUAAAGCAGGAGUCGAGGGGUUGAAAUGUGACCCACACCCCAGAACAGUUUAGAAACACUUGCUCUUCACAACAUCUCUGCCUCAGCUGCAAUCCUCUGAUUGGCCUGUAUGGAAUAUCCUUUGGAGUCAAAUCAGUUUUAUGAUUUUUAAACUCUGAUGGCUUUAAUUUGCU
Molecule: long non-coding RNA, 1455 nt
Filed under: Cyanistes caeruleus (blue tit)
Lineage: Eukaryota; Metazoa; Chordata; Aves; Passeriformes; Paridae
Description: lncRNA (ENSCCEG00000010776.1)
Source: RNAcentral